GUGAGGAAUCUUCCACAAUGGGCGAAAGCCUGAUGGAGCAACGCCGCGUGAAGGAUGAAGGUCUUCGGAUUGUAAACUUCUUUUAUGAGUGAAGAAUAUGACGGUAACUCAUGAAUAAGCACCGGCUAACUACGUGCCAGCAGCCGCGGUCAUACGUAGGGUGCAAGCAUUAUCCGGAGUGACUGGGCGUAAAGAGUUGCGUAGGCGGUUAUGUAAGCGAAUAGUGAAACCUGGUGGCUCAAUCACACAGACUAUUAUUCGAACUGCAUAACUCGAGAAUGGUAGAGGUAACUGGAAUUUCUUGUGUAGGAGUGAAAUCCGUAGAUAUAAGAAGGAACACCAAUGGCGUAGGCAGGUUACUGGGCCAUUUCUGACGCUAAGGCACGAAAGCGUGGGGAGCGAACCGGAUUAGAUACCCGGGUAGUCC
Molecule: ribosomal RNA, 427 nt
Filed under: uncultured bacterium
Lineage: Bacteria
Description: partial 16S ribosomal RNA
Rfam family: Bacterial small subunit ribosomal RNA
Source: RNAcentral